GACCUCAAAUCAGGUAGGACUACCCGCUGAACUUAAGCAUAUCAAUAAGCGGAGGAAAAGAAACUAACAAGGAUUCCCCUAGUAACUGCGAGUGAAGCGGGAAAAGCUCAAAUUUAAAAUCUGGCAGUCUUUGGCUGUCCGAGUUGUAAUCUAGAGAAGYGUUAUCCGCGCUGGACCGUGUACAAGUCUCCUGGAAUGGAGCGUCAUAGAGGGUGAGAAUCCCGUCUUUGACACGGACUACCAGGGCUUUGUGAUGCGCUCUCAAAGAGUCGAGUUGUUUGGGAAUGCAGCUCAAAAUGGGUGGUAAAUUCCAUCUAAAGCUAAAUAUUGGCGAGAGACCGAUAGCGAACAAGUACCGUGAGGGAAAGAUGAAAAGAACUUUGGAAAGAGAGUUAAACAGUACGUGAAAUUGCUGAAAGGGAAACGCUUGAAGUCAGUCGCGUUGUCCAGGGAUCAACCUUGCUUUUGCUUGGUGCAUUUUCUGGUUGACGGGUCAGCAUCAAUUUUGACCAUUGGAAAAAGAUUAAGGGAAUGUGACAUCUUUGGAUGUGUUAUAGCCCUUGGUUGCAUACGAUGGUUGGGAUUGAGGAACUCAGCACGCCGCAAGGCCGGGUU
RNAcentral lists this ribosomal RNA (615 nucleotides) under Dermocybe malicoria. RNAcentral's name for it is "partial 25S ribosomal RNA". It matches the Rfam family "Eukaryotic large subunit ribosomal RNA", at positions 1 to 617 of the family's 3401-position model. Lineage: Eukaryota; Fungi; Basidiomycota; Agaricomycetes; Agaricales; Cortinariaceae. The record is from RNAcentral.